AUUUUAAGGGCCGCGGUAAUCUGACCGUGCAAAGGUAGCAUAAUAGUUAGUUUUUUAAUUGGGAUCUUGUAUGAAUGGUUGGACAAAAGAAAUACUGUCUCUAUAGUUGUUAUUGAAUUUAACUUUUAAGUGAAAAGGCUUAAAUUAUUUAAAAAGACGAUAAGACCCUAUAAAGCUUUAUAAGUGUGUGUUGUUUGAUUGAAUUAGUUAAUAAAAUUUAAAUAAUAUAAUUAUUUUGUUGGGGAGAUAAUAUUAUAAUUAAAAAUAACUGUUAAAAAGUAUUACAAUUAUAAGUGAUUUAUAAAAUAAAAGAUCCUAAAUAAAGAUUGUAAGUUUAAGUUACUUUAGGGAUAACAGCGUUAUUUUCUUUGAGAGCCCAUAUCGAAAAGAAAGAUUGCGACCUCGAUGUUGAAUUAAAAUUUCUAAGUGAUUGCAGAAGUUGCUUUAGAGGGUCUGUUCGACCUUUAAACUUUUACAUGAUUUGAGUUCAGACCGGCGUGAGCCAGGUUGGUUUCUAUCUUUUAACAAUAAAAAGGUUAUUUUAGUACGAAAGGAUUAAAUAAUCAAAUUUUUUUUAAUGUUGAAGUUAUUUUGGCAGAAGGUAUGCGUAGGA
RNAcentral lists this ribosomal RNA (613 nucleotides) under Calyptraeotheres granti. RNAcentral describes it as "partial 16S ribosomal RNA". It matches the Rfam family "Bacterial large subunit ribosomal RNA", at positions 1921 to 2747 of the family's 2925-position model. Lineage: Eukaryota; Metazoa; Arthropoda; Malacostraca; Decapoda; Pinnotheridae. The record is from RNAcentral.